RNAcentral lists this ribosomal RNA (493 nucleotides) under uncultured bacterium. Its description in RNAcentral is "partial 16S ribosomal RNA". It matches the Rfam family "Bacterial small subunit ribosomal RNA", at positions 30 to 523 of the family's 1533-position model. The record is from RNAcentral.
AUUGAACGCUGGCGGCAUGCCUUACACAUGCAAGCCGAACGGUAACAGGUUAGGCUGACGAGUGGCGAACGGGUGAGUAAUAUAUCGGAACGUGCCCAGUCGUGGGGGAUAACGUAGCGAAAGCUACGCUAAUACCGCAUACGAUCUACGGAUGAAAGCGGGGGAUCGCAAGACCUCGCGCGAUUGGAGCGGCCGAUAUCAGAUUAGCUAGUUGGUGAGGUAAAGGCUCACCAAGGCGACGAUCUGUAGCUGGUCUGAGAGGACGACCAGCCACACUGGAACUGAGACACGGUCCAGACUCCUACGGGAGGCAGCAGUGGGGAAUUUUGGACAAUGGGCGCAAGCCUGAUCCAGCAAUGCCGCGUGCAGGACGAAGGCCUUCGGGUUGUAAACUGCUUUUGUACGGAGCGAAACGGUCUUCUCUAAUACAGGGGGCUAAUGACGGUACCGUAAGAAUAAGCACCGGCUAACUACGUGCCAGCCGCCGCGGUAA